UAAGUUGUAAUAUGUUGUGU
Molecule: microRNA, 20 nt
Filed under: Ciona intestinalis (vase tunicate)
Lineage: Eukaryota; Metazoa; Chordata; Ascidiacea; Phlebobranchia; Cionidae
Description: cin-miR-4114-5p
Source: miRBase by way of RNAcentral